RNAcentral lists this ribosomal RNA (468 nucleotides) under uncultured bacterium. RNAcentral's name for it is "partial 16S ribosomal RNA". It matches the Rfam family "Bacterial small subunit ribosomal RNA", at positions 28 to 507 of the family's 1533-position model. The record is from RNAcentral.
GACGAACGCUGGCGGCGUGCUUAACACAUGCAAGUCGAACGGAAAGGCCCUGCUUUUGUGGGGUGCUCGAGUGGCGAACGGGUGAGUAACACGUGAGUAACCUGCCCUUGACUUUGGGAUAACUUCAGGAAACUGGGGCUAAUACCGGAUAGGAGCUCCUGCUGCAUGGUGGGGGUUGGAAAGUUUCGGCGGUUGGGGAUGGACUCGCGGCUUAUCAGCUUGUUGGUGGGGUAGUGGCUUACCAAGGCUUUGACGGGUAGCCGGCCUGAGAGGGUGACCGGCCACAUUGGGACUGAGAUACGGCCCAGACUCCUACGGGAGGCAGCAGUGGGGAAUAUUGCACAAUGGGGGGAAGCCUGAUGCAGCAACGCCGCGUGCGGGAUGACGGCCUUCGGGUUGUAAACCGCUGUCGCCUGUGACGAAGCGUGAGUGACGGUAAUGGGUAAAGAAGCACCGGCUAACUACGUG